UACGGGGGGGGCAAGCGUUGUUCGGAAUUACUGGGCGUAAAGGGCUCGUAGGCGGCCAACUAAGUCGGAUGUGAAAUCCCCAGGCUCAACUUGGGAACUGCAUCCGAUACUGGAUGGCUUGAAUUCGGGAGAGGGAUGCAGAAUUCCAGGUGUAGCGGUGAAAUGCGUAGAUAUCUGGAGGAAUACCGGUGGCGAAGGCGGCAUCCUGGACCGACAUUGACGCUGAGGAGCGAAAGCUAGGGGAUCAAACGGG
Molecule: ribosomal RNA, 253 nt
Filed under: uncultured bacterium
Lineage: Bacteria
Description: partial 16S ribosomal RNA
Rfam family: Bacterial small subunit ribosomal RNA
Source: RNAcentral